Molecule: non-coding RNA, 95 nt
Organism: Acanthosepion pharaonis
Lineage: Eukaryota; Metazoa; Mollusca; Cephalopoda; Sepiida; Sepiidae
Source: the annotation of a GenBank genome assembly
GUUGAAACGCUGGUUCACGUACGAUCAUCGUAGUUAAGCAACGUCGAGCCUGGUUAGUACCUAGAUGGGUGACCGCUUGGGAAUACCAGGUGUUC